This is a small nuclear RNA of Oryctolagus cuniculus (rabbit), 128 nucleotides long. Lineage: Eukaryota; Metazoa; Chordata; Mammalia; Lagomorpha; Leporidae. The record is from Ensembl.
ACCAUCCUUUUCUUGGGGUUGCGUUACUGUCCAAAUGAACGCAUAGUGAGGGCAGUACUGCUAACGCCUGAACAACACGUUCGUAUCAGCUAAAACUUCGGUUUUAGCUCGGUGCAAUUUUUGGAAAA